UGUGUCGGCCAUGAGUCGAACCUGGAUCAACUGCUUGGGAGGCAGCUUUGCUAACCAUUAUACCACCAACUC
Araneus ventricosus is the source of this 72-nucleotide non-coding RNA. The record is from the annotation of a GenBank genome assembly. Lineage: Eukaryota; Metazoa; Arthropoda; Arachnida; Araneae; Araneidae.